UGCAUGUCUAACAAUUUCCCAGCUGAUGCCAAAGCUGCUGAUCAGAGUCUACACCUUAAGAAAUAAGACUCUGAGAAUUUAUAGAAACAAACAUUAGAAGGCAGGAAUGUGGAGAGAAGAAAGCUACCUGACAAGGGAAUCUCAGGAUACAAGGAAAACACCAAGAAGACACCUGCCUGAGGGUCUUAUAGCUAAUGGACUGCAGAAGACUUGAGUCAUCAUUCAAAUUCAGUAGCCAUCCUCUGAUGUCCAGUUGAAGAUUGGUGAUUCCAGAAUAGCUCGCAUUGCCCCAGUUGACUUGCCACACAGCUUCUUUCAGGACUUGAAAAUGUCCUAGCCACCCCCAUCUUACCUCCUACUUCCAAUGCCUUUUAAGAUAGAAAACAAAAAACAAAACAACAAAAAAACACCAGCCACCCUUGUGGGUUAGAUAAUCCUACAUCAAGGUGAAUUCUUGAUAACCAGUUCUGUUCUUCCUUAUGUCUUGUAAACAUGCUAAUUAGAAGGAGCUUGUGUUUGAAGAUCAAGGGAGGAAGAAUUCUGAAGCCAGGGCUAGCCUUAGGGGACAUAACUCCUUCCAGUCACUUCCUGAAUUUUUUGGUACCUGGCUUUUGAGAGUCCUCCAAAGUGAGAAUUUCAUGACAUGUAACCUCUCAACACCUGCAUUUUAAAAAAUUGUCCAAAAUACCGCAGAUACCACAGAAAAGUCCAAAACUUAAGUUUUUCCCUCCACUCAGAGCAUCUUAGCAACAUACUAACCAUAAGACUCUAAGCGCUCUUACCCUCAAUGCAAUUCUCACUGAAUAUCCUGUCAGGAGAACUCUACCUCUCUUCCAUGUUAUUAAGGUUAUUGUUCUUUGCAAGGUGUACACAACACAAAUAUAUUUCUUGGUGAAUGAACUCACUCUCAAAGACUGCUGUCCUUGGGGAUAUAGCCAACAUGCCAUAUCCACAACAUAGGUCUUCUUUACAGUCCUGUUGAAACAUGUAAGAUCAGCUACUAAGUCCCUGCAUCUCAGACAGGAACUUAAUAGAGUACAUUUAAAAAAAAAAUUCAGAAGUAAUUAAAACAAAUUGCAUACAAGCCACCUGUUUAGAAAGUUCAUAAAUUUUAUGCAAUUAUUUAUCUCUUUAUUUUUUCUGAAAUCAAGAGCAGAAUGUAUCCAAGUGAAACUAAAAGAGCGAGGUCAAGGGGAAACAACACAGGGCUUGUGGAGUCAUAAAUAUGUAUUAAAGCAGCAGAGUUAAUUUUGUCCCAAGUUCCAUAUUGGCCAGGAAAAAAGAAACAAGAUCAGCAGAGUUAACAGCUCUCAACCUGAAUAUGCCUCAGAAUUUCUAGGAGGACUUAAGUAAUGAGAUUCCUGGGUUUCUACAUGGACCAACUCAAUCAAACUCUUCAGGAGACAGCUGCUGUUGUUAGACUGUGUCUCCCAAAAUUCUUGUGUUGGAAACUUAGUUCCCAAUGUAAUGAUACUGGCAGGUGUGGCCUAGUGGGGGGUGUUUAGAUCAUGAGGGCUUCAGCCUCAUGAAUGGAUUAAUGUUGAUAUCUCAGGAGUGAGUUUCCUCUUGCUCUCUGUAGCCCUCUCUCUUGCCACAUGAUGACUUCCACCAGGUUAUGACUCAACAGGAAGGCCCUCACAAGAUGUGGAACCUCAAUCUUAGACUUCUCAGCCUCCAGAAGUGAGCCAAAUAAAUUUCUGUUCAUUAUACAUUACUUAGUCUGGAUUAUUCUGUUAUAAGGGCACAAAACAGACUAGUACACAAUAUGUGUGUGCUUUUUACAUCAGAUGAAUCUCAUGGUCAGUUAAGUCUGGAAAUCACUUGUCUAAAUGAGUUGCGUUUGGUUUUUCCUAAGAAAUAUGCUGUCAGUUCCUCAAGAGAAGCAAAAUAUACCAGCCCUUAUAUUUCCUUUAAGAAGACUCACCUAAUUUAGGUCAUAUAUCUCAAAGUG
RNAcentral lists this long non-coding RNA (1951 nucleotides) under Homo sapiens (human). Its description in RNAcentral is "non-protein coding LINC01197:19". The record is from RNAcentral. Lineage: Eukaryota; Metazoa; Chordata; Mammalia; Primates; Hominidae.